GAUGAACGCUAGCUACAGGCUUAACACAUGCAAGUCGAGGGGGAACGGCAUUGAGUGCUUGCACUCUUUGGACGUCGACCGGCGCACGGGUGAGUAACGCGUAUCCAACCUUCCCAUUACUGUGGGAUAACCUGCCGAAAGGCAGACUAAUACCGCAUAGUCUUCGAUGACGGCAUCAGAUUUGAAGUAAAGAUUUAUCGGUAAUGGAUGGGGAUGCGUCUGAUUAGCUUGUUGGCGGGGUAACGGCCCACCAAGGCUACGAUCAGUAGGGGUUCUGAGAGGAAGGUCCCCCACAUUGGAACUGAGACACGGUCCAAACUCCUACGGGAGGCAGCAGUGAGGAAUAUUGGUCAAUGGACGGAAGUCUGAACCAGCCAAGUAGCGUGCAGGAUGACGGCCCUAUGGGUUGUAAACUGCUUUUGUAUGGGGAUAAAGUUAGGGACGUGUCCCUAUUUGCAGGUACCAUACGAAUAAGGACCGGCUAAUUCCGUGCCAGCAGCCGCGGUAAUACGGAAGGUCCAGGCGUUAUCCGGAUUUAUUGGGUUUAAAGGGAGCGUAGGCUGGAGAUUAAGUGUGUUGUGAAAUGUAGACGCUCAACGUCUGAAUUGCAGCGCAUACUGGUUUCCUUGAGUACGCACAACGUUGGCGGAAUUCGUCGUGUAGCGGUGAAAUGCUUAGAUAUGACGAAGAACUCCGAUUGCGAAGGCAGCUGACGGGAGCGCAACUGACGCUUAAGCUCGAAGGUGCGGGUAUCAAACAGG
RNAcentral lists this ribosomal RNA (761 nucleotides) under Prevotella melaninogenica. RNAcentral describes it as "bacterial SSU rRNA". It matches the Rfam family "Bacterial small subunit ribosomal RNA", at positions 28 to 776 of the family's 1533-position model. The record is from RNAcentral. Lineage: Bacteria; Pseudomonadati; Bacteroidota; Bacteroidia; Bacteroidales; Prevotellaceae.